Long non-coding RNA from Poecilia latipinna (sailfin molly), 3026 nucleotides. RefSeq lists it as uncharacterized. Lineage: Eukaryota; Metazoa; Chordata; Actinopteri; Cyprinodontiformes; Poeciliidae. The record is from RefSeq and is a predicted model, not a curated record. The transcript is spliced from 2 exons.
GCAGGGACAGAGGAAAAGCCAAAAAACAGAAAAAAGUUAGCAAUGGAGAGAGAAGGAAAAGUCAAGAGGGGAAGUAAUCAGUGAGAUGAUAAAGAGACACAAGACUUAGGAUGCGGUAGAAGGAGAGUGCUUGUGAUGCGACAUGUAGGUGGGAGCAUGGAGGCGUGAGAAGGAAAAUGGUACAAAUCACUGGAUAAGAAUGCUUGCUUAGGCAAGAAAAGACCAACCACCACCAGCGAAAUGCGCAGUGCUCACCUAGGCACUGAGGGAGCCCUCGCUAAUAAAUUACAGAGCGAGACCUGAGAUUAAACAUGAAAUGAGCGAUGCCGUCUAACGGCUGAACUGAACUGGGCAGAGGUGGAGACAGCUCAUCAACAACAGUCAAAAUGAUCAUGGGUGAAAAACAGAUAAGAUUAAAGUCGGUUGAUGACAUGAAACGGACUGGUGAAGGUUCAGCUUUAUAGUAACACACGACUGAUGAGAGCGACAAUUAGGGAUUGCUUGCGGAGUUAGCCCCUCAGGAAACGGGUUAUGGCUGUGGAACAAUUUCGUAAAAAGCUGGAAACUCGAGCUGCUGAAAUGAAGGUGAAGCUGAACCAACUACAUAGGAGAUCCCCCCCAAAAAAGGGCCAUGCCCGACAGACUGAAUUUAAAAUGAAAAAUAGAAAGAAAAUACCAUCUAAACUCAUCAAAAAGCUUUGACGUGUAGAGAUGUGCCACUCGAAUGAACUUCACGGACCUGGCAAUGGGGUUGGGAGUUUAGACUAGAAUGGCUGUGAGCUUUAGGAUACCUGCAAGAGCUGGUUGCCGUAGUGACAGACCCACAAGAAUGACUGGUAAGAGUCUAAAGGCUAUUGGCCCAGAAGUGAGACUGGAAUGAGCACAUUUGAGUGUGGGACCGGGGUAAGUGAGAGAACCGACUACAUAGCCUGAAAGUGGCAGGAUGGCCUGGGAAAUAAUCUGCCGAUUCUGGGAGAUCUUGAGAUAAGAACUGAGAAGCGACCCAUGGGACUUGAACAGGACACAUCAGAAUAUGGAACAGCUUGGUUGAUAGCGGCGAAGCAAGUAGACCAGGAAUAUCCAGAGUUCAGCUAAGAAAAACCUAAAACUUAAGCUACGAAAAGGAUCACCUGCUGGAAUAGCGACUGCCAGACCAUUUAAAUCCUCUGGAUUGUUCUGAACUGAGCUACCGGAAUGAAAUAUGAAUCAACCACUAUACAUUGCGCAUGUGGAAAAUUCCUAUAAAUCGAAUGCUUUUAAAAAAAAAACACGUCUUACAUUGAGACUAAACCAGUUCCAUUUAAGGUUGCUUUGAUAAGUAGUGAAUGGACACGAGCAAAAAUUUUUAGAAACAAUGAUUGGACAAUGCCCUCGUCAACAAGAAUUUAAGGCCGAUUAAUAAUUAGCAGAAGCGCUGGACAGACUCAACCGAACUGAAGAGGAAUUAUUAGUCGACUUCAUGUUACGUUGGCAAGCCACUCUACUACACGUAUUGCGUCGCAACAGGGUAAAAGUCCACAAUUAGGUGAAUGACAAUUUAUGCCUCAUGCCGCGGUAUGAGAAGGCCAGCCGAGACGCGAACCCCUGCUCCAGACGAGAUUAGCUGAUUGAACUGACUGUUUAGGUCAUGAUGAGGAGUAAAUUUAAAAUAUGCUAGUUUUAAAAACUUGCCAUGUCUUUAUUGGAAAGCCUAAUUAUAGUUCUCAGAUUAAUAACUUAUUCUGUCCUGUUAACCUUUAUGUUACCUGUAGAUAAAGUAGAUUGUUUGCCGAGAUCUUUUGAACUGCCCUUUGUGUGGGAAAUCAGGAGAAGUUCCAGCUUUCACACUGAUCUGUGAAAAGCCUUGAAACAGCAGGAAUGGAGGAAACUCCGGUACCAAAUCGAUGCAGGAAUAUAAAAGAGUUGGCCAUGUAGGUAAAACACGGGGCUUGCAGAACAGCCGGGACACAACUGAAGUGACCGCCCGCGCUGCCGGGCCUGGGUAGCAUAAAUUAUAAUACAGCUCGACGACAAAGAAUACUGCACUGACUAGCGACGAAUAACUAAUGUGAAGCAGAUAGAUAACUGCGGUGACCAAACGACCCGUUAACGAUGGGCUGCACUGCUCGCAGUUGAGUGCAGAUGCAUCUGCUAUUUAUACGAUAGACAUCCCUCCAAAGCUGACUGGAUUCUAACGUACGCCUUGCAGCUCUUACGCAACAGCUGGUCACCUGCUGAACCAAUGUUAUGUUUAAAGGCGCCUCGGAGAAACAGGUGACGAUGUUUUAGCUAAGUCAAUGUUCGGAUAAAAGUCCUUGAACAUUAGAACCUGAGUGGCGCAUGUAUAUACGGCCAAAGUGUUCGGGAGGGGAUAAACUAAUGAAAAGUGUCUGCGUUACGAAGUAUUGCGAGACUCGAAUGAGACAUGAGAAUGCUACGUCUUACCCUGGUAGCCUGAAACAGGCGUAGUGAGGGAAAACCAGAGAGGUGUUGCUGAGCGGGCUGACAGCGACCAUGCAGGAGAGGGAAAUCGUAGGCAUGCUGAUCCUUAGCGUGGCACUGGUGUGAAGGCGCUGAGGUGAAGAAGACGGUGCGGGUUGAAAACAGUGGGAUCACGUGUCUGCUUGCCAGAGGUGGACCGUGGAGUAGGUGGCGAGGGAGCGGGAGAUUGGAGAAAUCCCAGUCAGGCGAGAGAAAGGGGGAAGACGCUACUUGAAAUCAUCAAGGCGGGAGACGCCGCUUGAAAUCAUCGAGGAAUCGCUUGCAUCUGAGGAGCAUCCUGACAGCCUGAGACGGGCGUAGAGGGGGAAAUCCGGAAAGGUGCUGACCAUGACGGCAUGCGGAAGUGAGAGAAGCUUGGCGGGCGAAGGAAGAUGGCCUUUGCUGCUUCCCUCAGAUCCUCCCUUUUGAUUCUGUCGUUUUUCUUUACGGCAUCUUUAAACAGGCUGUUCCCUCCACGUAGAGCUCCGCAGUUAGCUACCUUGUCUCACGACUGUGCGGGAGGUAAUGCGUCGUGCAUCACGGGCCAAAGGGGUCAAAGUAAACAA